Molecule: microRNA precursor, 57 nt
Organism: Oreochromis aureus
Lineage: Eukaryota; Metazoa; Chordata; Actinopteri; Cichliformes; Cichlidae
Source: Ensembl
UCUAGGGCAGAGGUGUCGAACAUAAGGUCCGGGGGUUCGACAUCUCUGGUUUAGACU